This 2506-nucleotide long non-coding RNA is filed under the name Astyanax mexicanus (Mexican tetra). RNAcentral's name for it is "lncRNA (ENSAMXG00005007797.1)". The record is from RNAcentral. Lineage: Eukaryota; Metazoa; Chordata; Actinopteri; Characiformes; Acestrorhamphidae.
GUGUGUGUGUGUGUGUGUGCUUGUGUGUGUGAGAGAGAGUGUGUGUGUGUGAGAGAGAGAGAGAGAGUGAGAGUGAGAGUGAGUGCUUGUAUGAAAGAAUGGUGUGCUUGUGUGUGUGUUGUUGUUGUUGGGCCAAAAACUAUUUUAUUCCUUAGCUUUCAUGAUGAAUAUCUUCCGUUCCAUCUACUUGAAACAUUCUUAUUGUUGGGUAUCCUUCUCUUUGGCUCACAGAGUUGUCAUGUUUGUUCAUGUUUUAAUCUUUUGGAGAUCUGUUCUUAAUAAACAUUUUUCUUAAAUAAUAGGUCUUCUUCAGUGUUGCAGUGUUAAUUAACAUAAUUCUGAACAGAUUUUGCUAAUUCAAACAGCCCAACAUGUUUUUAAAAAGCUUAAACUUUAAAAAGCUUUACUUACAAAAAAUAUGUGCUGUUUAAAUCGGGCUUGGGCUCAAGAGGACAGUGUAUGGGGUGGAGCAGGCUUGGCCAGAACGUGUACGGGCUCGGGCCGGGUCAGGCAGGAUAUUUUGGGCCAGAUCUAAGCUCUAGAGAGUGCAGGGGUAGAUGUAACUGAGAUGCUGUGAGCCUUUUGGAAGCCUCUUGUGACCUCAGGACUGCAAUAUUAGCCAGUGGUUACCAGAUUGUAGGUGUUGUAGACUGGUGUUAAAGGUUGGUGUAGGCUGGUAGUAGAUACUUUUCUACCUAAAGUACAUGCUGUAGUACUUAAUCUGACUCUCUUGUAUGUUCCACAGAUGCAGUUUGUUAAGUGCUUGCUGAUUACCGCUGUGGCUCUUUCCUUAAUGCCCAUGUUCACCUCUGCCCUGGUCAAAACGGUGAAGAAGCUGAACGAAUCCGCUGUUCUGAGCUGUAACGUAGAGUGUCCAGGUGUGAUGCAGUGGAGAAGGAAUGGGGAGGCCGUUGCUGAGUGCGGUCCUGGAGCUAAACAUUUGAGUUUCGUCUGUGAAAUUAAUCAGGAAAAAUCUCUGUUCACUGUUCCUCUGGUGAACUUCUCAACCAGAGGCGUCUACUCUGCUUUCUGCAGUGGCGAAGAAAUGUCUCAGUGCAGACAAUUCUUACAACUUAUCCCCCCUGAGGAUGUCUUUGUCCGGAAUGCUGGAGAUCGUCUGGGACUGGAUCUUCGCAUUCCUGAUCCGGUUAUCGUAGAGUUCACAGUGCCUGGAAACUCCUUCACACUUGAGGUUUGCCGCGUGGAUGGACGUCGUUGUCCGUGUCACGCAAAGUAUGAGCAGAGGAUCCUCGUUGUUGGAAACAUCUUAUUUCUGAUGGAUCUCAGACCUUCAGACAGCGGCAACUACAGCAUACGAAACGCUGCUGACCGUACACUGGUGAGCAGUUCAGACGUCACUGUCACAGAGAGGAGCUCCAGAGUCAGAAUUCCCACCUCACCAGAGAGAGAGAAGCACGACCCCAAACAUUUCUUCAUCAGCACAGUAAACGACCUUCAGGAGAGCUGGAUAUGGAAGGAAGGAUAUCAUAAGGGAAAAGUGACUGGAGCGCUGGCAGCUGGAAUUCUAGGGCUUGUUUGCAUAGUUGUGUUUUUCUUUUUUGGUGUGUUUGUUGGGCCAAAGCUGUUACCUCUGCUGAACAGCUGUGAGCAGAAUCUCAGAUUUCCAGAGCGCUCAGGAUCCACGUAUGGAUAAUGAAAGGGGUAUUCUCCUGACUUCUCCUAAUGGUCCCACCCAGAACUAGGAAAAUGAUCUUAACGUCAGAAGCUGAAUUUUAAUGUUUUUAGCCUUUUGAAAAAACCUAAUUGAAAAAAUUAUGUAGAAGCCAAAUAUGAUGUUUUUUCCUUCAACAUACAAAAUGUAGAAACCCAAACUGUAGACCUGGGUUUCCAGUAGGCUGACUAUGAUGAUCUACUUAUCCAACAAAAAAAAGCUCAGUUUUAACAAUCUUACUAAAAAGGCUCAGCUUUUUUAUUAAGUAUACCGUUAAAACUGAGUUCCAUUCCAUUAAUAUCACACUGCCAAAUUUCUGCUCUGUCUCACUUAUACAGGCCAGAACAGCCCGUUCAUUCCUGUGCAUUUAACAUGAACACAGGACAUUUGUGUAUUAAUAUGUGAUGAUGUCAGGGCCCUAAGCACAUCACCAUCCACCAAGAACCCCUUAUGUACAUUUUAUUAAAAGACAUUAAAGAGACAUUAACACAGGACUUACCUGGCUCCUGUAGAAAUGGUGGGCAUCUUCCUCCCAACCCUCUGGUACCCUCCUGACCUCUCAUCCCCACACUACCACAUAACAUUUAUAUUCUCUGAAGAAUGCCCCCCAAAAAUCACACAUUCUGCCAGAGUAUGUAAACUUAUGAGCACAACUGAACAAGCUAACAGAGAAAUUAUUCCCAGAGUAAGCUUUAACUAUCCAUAAUCACUUUAAUUAACUCUCCCUGACCCGUAGCUUCUUACAUGUAGACAUGUCACACCUGCAUUAUGAUGUUUUUAUUUAUUUAUUUAUUUAUUUAUUUUUAAAUAAUAAAUAAAUAUUUAUUUAGCUCA